This 25-nucleotide non-coding RNA is filed under the name Mus musculus (house mouse). The record is from RNAcentral. Lineage: Eukaryota; Metazoa; Chordata; Mammalia; Rodentia; Muridae.
GAGAGACUUACAUGCUUUGGCCAUC